GAAAAAGAGGAGCGGACGAACAAGAGUACCGCGCGCACAGGAACAGGAAGGCAUUCCGCACGAUGCGCACGCGAAAGGGUAUCUCCGCCGAAGCGCAUUGCCGCCCUUCCCGCGAUGCGCUGGGUCUGCGGGAGAAUACCCGCUUUCCUGUCACCCCGCGGUGAAGCGCUUUU
RNAcentral lists this non-coding RNA (173 nucleotides) under chicken gut metagenome. Its description in RNAcentral is "Lysine riboswitch". It matches the Rfam family "Lysine riboswitch aptamer". Rfam says of the family: Riboswitches are metabolite binding domains within certain messenger RNAs that serve as precision sensors for their corresponding targets. Allosteric rearrangement of mRNA structure is mediated by ligand binding, and this results in modulation of gene expression. The record is from RNAcentral.